This is a long non-coding RNA of Apus apus (common swift), 3199 nucleotides long. RefSeq lists it as uncharacterized. The transcript has 9 exons. The record is from RefSeq and is a predicted model, not a curated record. NCBI's taxonomy places the organism in Eukaryota, Metazoa, Chordata, Aves, Apodiformes, Apodidae.
UAGAGGUUUAGAGGCUUCAUUGAGUUCAGUAAUUAGGCGUGAGUAGUUAUCUCUGGUCUUUUCUCCAUCUUUGGGACUUUGUUUCUGCCUGUGUUGAUAUCAUGUGCUGGGUGGGACUCUGGGCUGGGUUGGGAUCCUGCCUGGCAAACCCAAGGCCAUGGCCACAGCAGAGGCACCAUCCCACAGCCUGUGCUCCACUCCAACUCUGGCAGGAAAAAGGUGGCAACAGCAUCUGGCUGGGAUGGUGCCCACCUUUGUGGUUCCACUGUUGUAAAAUCAAAUUGAAGCUGUGUGUAAGUCAAUAAAUGUUAAAAAGCCGAGUAUUUCUAGAAAUAAGGCUUGGGAGAAGUGUCUGUGACACAGAAAAAAAAAGCUGUAACAGCAUCUAAAAUUAUUGGAAGGUUUGCUUUUUCUCUUGCCAUAUCUCCUUCACCUGCUACUUCAAAGCCUUGGUGGCUUCCUUUGAUGUGGCCACCCAGGAUGGACUUAGCAGCACAAAGGGGACCAAAGCCUGAGGCUGCCCCUGCCCAUCAGGAUAUUCCCUGGAGAGGUGGGUGUGAAGCAUCCCAGGGAGCUUCAGCUCACUGCCACCACAUCCAGCUGCCUGACACUGCUGCUGAUCCCUGUUGCCAUCCCUGCAGGUAUUUAAAAGCUGUGUAGAUGUGAUGCUGAGGGACAUGAUUGAGUGGUAGGUUUGGCAGUACUGGGUUAACAGUUGGACUGGAUGAUCUUAAAGAUCUUUUCUAGCCCUAAUUAUUCCAUGGUUCUGUAAUCACCCUACCAGAGCUGGUUCAUGCAAAGAUGGUUCAUGGUCAACACACCAGUUUGUUCCCCAGGAUAUUUGCCAAGCACCUAAAGCUCCCACAGCCGUGGUGUUGACUCCAGUGGGCUGCUGGGACCUGCCUCCCUCUUCCAGUGAGGACCAACCCAGGCUGCAGAUAUUCAAUGUUGAAACGCGAGCUGCUAGUGUACCUGGGGGAAUGGAAACAAGAGGAAGGGAAACAUUGGAAUAAAUUUAAAGAAGAAAUCUGUUCAGUGAAAUAAAAAAUGAAUUGUUUUUUGCAGUACCUGCAAGCAGAGGAGCUGAAGACCCAUAGUGAAGGUGAUUGUGUGAGUAGCUACAAUCUGGAGCAGUCCUGAGGAGUGCACGGUGCUCACGGGUGAAAAACAACAUGAAGCAAAUGAAGAUGGAAAUCGCUGAUCUCCAAGAUGCUCUGGACCUUACCGCCUGGAUUAUGUGUCCUUCAGGAUUAGAUUUAUCAGCAGCUCAUUCGGGGAGAGCUCUGUGCCGGCGUCCGAGCGGCUUUUCCACCUGCGAGCAGGACUCUGGGGCUGAGCCUGUUGGGUUGGCUCUGCUUGUGAAACGCCUGAGCUUUUCUUCUUCAUCCCAGAUGAAAAUGCUGGAUGUUGCAUUUCUUCUUGAUUUUGUGAGUCAAGUUCAGUUUGGACAAAAAGAAGUGUGCAGUUCCACUCUGGUGAGAAGAGCUCUCAUUUCCUCAGAUCAGGAGAGGAAAACACAUUCUCUGCUCUUGCAACUCCAAAUCAUGUUUUGAGUGAAUUAGUCAUCGGCCUGAACCAGCUGAACACAGCACAGGAGUGGUCAGACACUGGAAUGGUGGAGUCACUAUCCCUGGGUCAUUUAACCAAUGGGAUUUGUGUCCACUGGCUGACCUUCAAAAUCUCCAACAUGGGAGGACACAGAUUUUAUUACAUCUCUUCCACUACCAAGUUCCUCAUCCUCCUCAGCAGGACAUUGGCUAUAUGGACCUUCUACGUUUUGUUCUGACAUUGAUGCCUUUUCAGCCUUCUUAAAACUUGGAAAAAAAGAGACUCAAGCUGUUGGGUUGGAAGAAGGUGGAGUCUGCAGCAGGAGUGGGACGUGGAGAACUCCCUUUGCAAGCCUCUGUGAUGACCCAGCACCUCCCACCCCACCAGCCAGAGGCACUGGUGACCACGUCCUGGCCCUGUCCUUCAUCUGGUGAGGAUGGACCUGUGGGUCUGAGCCCUGGUGGCCAGAGCCCAGACCAUCCAGGAAGGUGUUGCCCUCAGCUCCAGCACCCGGGACCAUCGCUCAGCACCUGCUCCCACCUCAGACCUGCACAGCACAAGGGAAGACAUCAUGAAAAGUCACUUUAUUGGAUUUCAAGUGCAGGGCUCGGGAGAAUGCAGAGUGCAGCAGAAAACCGACACAUAAAGGAGUGAUAGAAAUUCUACACCAGCAUUUCCAUCUGUUGCUGAUUCUCUGUGAAGAUACUGCUUCCAUCAGCAUGUCUUAAUAUACUAAACUUGUCCCCUAAGCCCGUCCUCUGAAGCUUGGUGCUACGGUAGGUAAACAAAAGUGACUUUACAUUGGCGGGACUACAAGCCCAGACAUAGCUAAAAGAAAAAGAGAAGAAAGAACAAAAAUAAAAAAUCAGCUGUUAUUAGCAGUUGUGAGUAAGGAACACCUGGUUCACACCAACCUCCUCAUGCCCCAGCACCCUCUGCCUGGGGGGGCAUGGACAGGCUCUCCCCAACAAAACGCUCCCCAAGGGCUCCCAAGAUGCCAGAGGAGGUUCUGAGGGGGCUUCUGUGCCCAGAGCAGCCCAACCCCUGUGGCAUAUUUCCCAGCAGGGAUACCACGGUCACUCCUGAUCCUAGCAGGCAUCCAAAUCCCACCAACCACUGCUCCCUGCCCAGACCUGGCACCUGGGCAGGAAACCUCCAUUUCCACAGUUGUACUUCAUGGUACCAACAAGACCGAGCAAGCCAAGGACUCAAAGACCAAAGCCAAGCACCCUACCCCUGCUCUCACCUCUGGAGACCAAGCACCACCAAAAAGCAAGAGGUUAUUACCCCUGACCAGCCAUCUCCUCAUUUUUUAACAGCUGAAGCCUGAGACACCAACAAUUACUGCUUGCUUUUUUUUUUUUUUUUUUACUUAGUUAACUCUUUGGUAGAAACAUAAUUUAGACAGACUUUAAUUUUAGUGUUGUUUAAUUUUUGCCAUAAUGAUAUUUCUCAUUAAUGUAUGUACAACAGAUAUUAAUAAAUUUGUUCGUGUAGUGAAGUGAACUUCAAUUUCUCAGUUCAUUAAUUUCCACAAUAUUAAUUUGCUUCAGAUUCUCUGUUGCAGCUUUAUGGUUUGGAAGAGCUGGGUACACACACGUGUCAUACGUUGCACAACCUCCUCCCAGCAGCAUGGGCUGCACCACCAGGA